RNAcentral lists this transfer RNA (64 nucleotides) under Salpa fusiformis. Its description in RNAcentral is "tRNA-Ala". Lineage: Eukaryota; Metazoa; Chordata; Thaliacea; Salpida; Salpidae. The record is from RNAcentral.
UAGACCUUAAUAUAAAACUAGUAUACUUUAUUUGCAAUAAAGAAGUAGGUCCUCCUAGGUCUUA